Molecule: long non-coding RNA, 1279 nt
Organism: Pipistrellus kuhlii (Kuhl's pipistrelle)
Lineage: Eukaryota; Metazoa; Chordata; Mammalia; Chiroptera; Vespertilionidae
Exons: 2
Source: RefSeq, a predicted model, not a curated record
UGCAAAUCGAUUUUUUAAUUAAAUUAAAAAUAUUGAAUGGUUUCCAUUUUGGACACGUGGCAGUUAACUGGAUAAAUGGUGCUCUUAUGGUCUGGUAGAGAGAAGGCUCUUGUCCUGGGCAGCUCAGGUAAGCUUCAGCCUAGCUUUUCUGUCAUGGAGGACGCCUCUUGCCCAGGAAGGUCAGUUACCGUGGCUGAAGGCACAGUUAUCCUCAGAGUGGAAAGACUUGCUUCCCUGAUGUCCUGCUGCGUUAAUAGGUAUGGCUAAAGAGGGGAGUAGGCUUGCCUUUUCUCCUGAGUAUCCGCACCAGGAGAAUUCAUGGCGUUGUGAUUUCCCUAAUCCUAUGGAGAAUGUGUCUCCAGACUUGAACAUACGACAGAAGGGUACAACCAAUUUGAAAAUACCACUUAUUAAAAAAAGAGCAUUUUCAUCAAAUAGCCACAGUCACAUUCCAACUGAAUCAAGAGGCAUAAAGUCUAUGUUAAAGGUCAGGUGUUGCCAGAAACUGACCCACCUGUGGGUCGUGAGGGCAGCUGAAGCUGUGGACUGGGCUGUGGGCCACGGGCUGCUCGUGGCUGUAGCUACAAGUAGCAGUGACAAGACUCCUAUCCCGGUCUUCCCAGAAGAGUGCUGUAGACCUGAGGGUGGCUGGCUGGCCAGGUGAGCAAGAGGAACAGAUUUACGCGUCUAGGAUUUAAGGAAGAGGCUAGGGCUAGAGAGACUCGUUUGGGAAUCAUCGGCAUAAGCAGUAUUUGAAGGCGUGGGAGUCAAUAAGGUUGCCUGUGAAGAUACUACAGAGACAAGGAUUCAGAACCAGGUUUGAGGUUCUCCCAAUAUUUGGAGGCUGAGCAGGAGUGUUGGGGUGUCACAGUGACCAUGGGAACACCGUUACAAGAAAUCAAUGGUCAACUCUUUAGAUUGCUGAAAGCCUGAGUUCAAUUAUAAGAGAACUAAUCAUUGCAUUUGGUGAGAAGAUGAUUUUGACAAGGAGCUAUUUCAUUGGAGUGCUAGUUGAUCAGUUUUAUUGUGUUUUUUUUUUUUUUAAGAAACAGCUUUGGGUUUCAUGGAUAUUUUCUACAUAAUUAAAUUUUGAAUGUAUUUAAGACAUGUAGAGUUUAAAGAUUAAUUGUAAAGCCAGAAGCCAUCCAAUGUUCUACCUGCUAGUGUGAAAUGUACAUGUCCAGUAAUCUGUAGCUCCCUUUUGACUCUUCCUGAUUCUAUUUCCUGCUCCCUCUAUGCAGGUAAGUCACCUGGCUUUUGUGGUGUCACCCCCUUGCUU